CGUUAGCGGCGGACGGGUGAGUAACACGUGGGUAACCUACCUAUAAGACUGGGACAACUUCGGGAAACCGGAGCUAAUACCGGAUAAGAUAUCGAACCGCAUGGUUCGAUAGUGAAAGAUGGUUUUGCUACCACUUAUAGAUGGACCCGCGCCGUAUUAGCUAGUUGGUGAGGUAACGGCUCACCAAGGCAACGAUACGUAGCCGACCUGAGAGGGUGAUCGGCCACACUGGAACUGAGACACGGUCCAGACUCCUACGGGAGGCAGCAGCG
This 272-nucleotide ribosomal RNA is filed under the name uncultured Staphylococcus sp. RNAcentral's name for it is "partial 16S ribosomal RNA". It matches the Rfam family "Bacterial small subunit ribosomal RNA", at positions 90 to 356 of the family's 1533-position model. The record is from RNAcentral. Lineage: Bacteria; Bacillati; Bacillota; Bacilli; Caryophanales; Staphylococcaceae.